GGCCCCUUAGCUCAGCGGUUAGAGCAGCGGACUCAUAAUCCGUGGGUCGCAGGUUCAAAUCCUGCAGGGGCCA
This 73-nucleotide transfer RNA is filed under the name Bacteroidales bacterium. Its description in RNAcentral is "tRNA-Ile". It matches the Rfam family "tRNA". Rfam says of the family: Transfer RNA (tRNA) molecules are approximately 80 nucleotides in length. Their secondary structure includes four short double-helical elements and three loops (D, anti-codon, and T loops). Further hydrogen bonds mediate the characteristic L-shaped molecular structure. tRNAs have two regions of fundamental functional importance: the anti-codon, which is responsible for specific mRNA codon recognition, and the 3' end, to which the tRNAs corresponding amino acid is attached (by aminoacyl-tRNA synthetases). tRNAs cope with the degeneracy of the genetic code in two manners: having more than one tRNA (with a specific anti-codon) for a particular amino acid; and 'wobble' base-pairing, i.e. permitting non-standard base-pairing at the 3rd anti-codon position. Lineage: Bacteria; Pseudomonadati; Bacteroidota; Bacteroidia; Bacteroidales. RNAcentral also lists the same sequence under 1 other name. The record is from RNAcentral.